RNAcentral lists this ribosomal RNA (789 nucleotides) under uncultured bacterium. RNAcentral's name for it is "bacterial SSU rRNA". It matches the Rfam family "Bacterial small subunit ribosomal RNA", at positions 8 to 796 of the family's 1533-position model. The record is from RNAcentral.
AGAGUUUGAUCAUGGCUCAGGAUGAACGCUAGCUGGAGGCUUAAUACAUGCAAGUCGAGCGGGAUUGGGUAGCAAUACCCAUGAGAGCGGCGCACGGGUGAGUAACGCGUACACGACCUACCUUUGACUGGGGGAUAGCCCUGGGAAACUGGGAUUAAUACCGCAUAUAAUUCUGAAUAAUAAAGGUUUGGAAUGAAAGUUCAGGCGGUCAGAGAUGGGUGUGCGUCUGAUUAGCUAGUUGGUGAGGUAACGGCUCACCAAGGCGAUGAUCAGUAGGGGGCGUGAGAGCGUGGACCCCCACACGGGUACUGAGACACGGACCCGACUCCUACGGGAGGCAGCAGUAAGGAAUAUUGGACAAUGGCCGCAAGGCUGAUCCAGCCAUCCAGCGUGCAGGAAGAAGGCCCUACGGGUUGUAAACUGCUUUUGUCAGGGAAUAAACCUGUGGAUUUACUCCGCAGCUGAAGGUACCUGAAGAAUAAGCACCGGCUAACUCCGUGCCAGCAGCCGCGGUAAUACGGAGGGUGCGAGCGUUAUCCGGAAUUACUGGGUUUAAAGGGUGCGUAGGCGGCUAUGUAAGUCAGGAGUGAAAGUUUGCGGCUCAACCGUAAAAUUGCUUUUGAUACUGCAUGGCUGGAAUCAGGACGAGGUCAGCGGAAUGUGGCAUGUAGCGGUGAAAUGCAUAGAUAUGCCAUAGAACACCAAUUGCGAAGGCAGCUGGCUAGACCUGUAUUGACGCUGAGGCACGAAAGCGUGGGGAGCGAACAGGAUUAGAUACCCUAGUAGUCC